RNAcentral lists this long non-coding RNA (866 nucleotides) under Panax ginseng (ginseng). RNAcentral describes it as "long non-coding RNA (PGIN_LNC009182)". Lineage: Eukaryota; Viridiplantae; Streptophyta; Magnoliopsida; Apiales; Araliaceae. The record is from RNAcentral.
AAGAGAAACUGCUACAGUUUUUUAAAAAUAACCAUAUUUUAUCUGGUUAUGAUCUGGACAAAUCCACCCCUCGACUUUGGUCGUUAACAAUACAUUUACAUCUAGCUUUACAUCAUUUUUCGAUGCUAUAAUUAAUAAAAAUGCGGAACGAUUCAAAAUCUUUUAUAACUUCUCUCUAUUAGUCCCUGAAUCACAACCUUUACAUUUACAUAUCUUAGAAUCAUGCUUAUUUUAUGAUUCACUUUAUCCGAUUUAUUAAAUAGGAUUACACACCUCAAUACAUUAUCCUUAUUACAUUGGAUAAUUCAACAUUUAUAUUCUGUCAUUAAAUAAACAUCAUAAACUGCUGACUACAGAAUUGUAGACCCUUAGCAUAGUUCUAAAUAAAUUCUUGGUAAAGCAAGUCUAUUUUCAUGCAUGCCUUCUGAUCAUUACCACCCAAAUAGCAGAUAAUAUCUCAUUGUAUCCUUAACCUGCAAAAAGGUUAUUUUUGCAAGAAUGAACUCGACAACUCAACAAAUCAAACAGUUUUCAUUCAUCACAUAGCACAUAAUAUCAUGCUCAGCUUAUACAAUCAUAAACAUUCUAGUAUAUCAUACAUGUUGCAUCUCACAUAACAAGUAUAGAGAUUAAUUUCCUUAACUUAACCACAUAGUCAUAGAUUGACUUUUGCAUUGCAUAUACACAAUAUUUGCAAUUCAUAUGUACUUCAUCAUGCUCUUUGCAAUAUAGUUUUAAAUAAAUCAACCAUCAAGUUCAUAUAGCAAAUAAGAACUGAAAGACUUGCCUGGCUCGUUGAUUACCAACUACAGCUUAACUGUUUCGCGUUUAUCCUACAUCAGUUCAGAAAUCCAUAUACACAUGCA